Molecule: unclassified non-coding RNA, 495 nt
Filed under: Hevea brasiliensis (rubber tree)
Lineage: Eukaryota; Viridiplantae; Streptophyta; Magnoliopsida; Malpighiales; Euphorbiaceae
Source: RNAcentral
GAGAAAGAGAGUCCUAAUGAAACAUGGAAAGAACAGAAGAAGAGCUUCUUGUGGUUAGGGAAAUCACAAACAAAACCCAAACUAAAAAAUCCCAUCUUUAAACGUUCACUUUCCCAGUUCCUGCCAAAACUCGCACAAAUAUCCCAGGCCAACUAAGCACCACCAAGUUUGCUCUUUUCAUCUGAUACCCAGCUGAUUCCUUCUACUUAACCAGACUAUAGCUAUCAAACCCAGAAACGAAAAGCUUUAGGAAGUACCAAUGGGUGCGAUAAAGUCGGCUAUUGGUGAUGCUGUGCUCACGUUCAUGUGGGUCUUCUGCUCGUCAAUGUUCGGCUUCUUUACCAGCCUCAUAGCCACUGCGCUCGGCGUUCAUCACCAGUUUUGGGCCUCUCUUUUUAUUACCACUGUUAUUGUUUUUGUAUUUGUUUUCUUGUUUGGCCUGAUCGCUGAAUUCUUGGGUGGAGCCAGUUUUAAUCCCACUGGUACUGCUUCUUU